Molecule: long non-coding RNA, 902 nt
Organism: Trachemys scripta elegans
Lineage: Eukaryota; Metazoa; Chordata; Testudines; Emydidae
Exons: 5
Source: RefSeq, a predicted model, not a curated record
UGUUGACACUGAAGCUGGCGGCAGCCAUGUUGGAUGUGGGCACUGACAUUUCCAGGCGGGGGGCUGCCCGCCAUCUUGGUUUAGGGCAUGAAGACGGAUUCGACCCUAGUGACGCUCGAAGUUUGAAGGGCCGUUGGGGAGUCGGACACGAUGUUUUCCAAGGAGCCUGUUGGCUGCGACGGGUUAGGGCAGGCCCCGACUGCCUCGGAGGCCGUGAUCGGCCAUCUUGGCAGCUGUCACUAGAGCCCCUGGCUGGUUUCAUUGAUCGAUUCGGUGUGAGUAGGUCGGUUCUGCUCAGGUGCCUGAUGAGAAAGGAAGAUCGAAGCCUUCAUUGCUGAACUUUUCCAUCCUCUGUUGGAAGGAGGAAGGGACCAGCAUAGCAUUCAGGAACCUCUGUUCUGAGGAGAUGACUGCAUUGUUCAGCUAUAUUUGAGCGCAGCAUCCAGGAUCCAGCACAUCAGAAAAGUAACUGCUUUACCUCCGCCAUUCUCAGAGCUGUGGCAGUGACUUCUGGAAGUGCAGCAGCUCUUGAAGAGGUCCAGAAUGCACAGCAUGUAGACUUUUGCUUCUGUGGCAAUAGACACACACCUUCCAUCCUGGUCUGAUUUGAUGAGAUUGAGGUGAAACCCCGCUGCAGCUGCCAUGCCAACACUUAAACUCUGUGUACUGCAAGCCACCAUCACGUCAGAGAAGAUGCACCAGGCACAAGACCAUGAGUACAUCGGAUCCAAAGAGAGUAAGCUGGGAGUAUAAAGCAGAAUGGAACCAAAUUCAUCCACUGCAGUUGACGGUUACACUAGGGUCUGAAUUUGGCAUUUAACCACCUUCACCAUGUUCCUGUGAUACAGCUUUUAAAUAUUUUAUAGGAUUUGGAUCUGUUGUGAUUUUUUUUUUUUUUUUUU